AAAAGGAAAAAUCAAGCCCUAAACGGAGCAUGACGAAGAAGGAGAGGAAGAGAAAGUGAGAAAGAAUGGCAAAAUGACUUGGGAUGACCAAAGAGUUCUUCAGGAGGAGGGAUGGAAGUCAAUAAUCAUGGUUUAGAUGGUUUCUUCCUUGUCGAAUCUAAGAUGAAAGUGUAGGGAUUAAAGUGUGGAACUGAAAGCCUAUCUAGAAAUUUGCAGGUGAUGUAUGCUUUGUCGCUAGACAAGUCAAAUCUGGCUGUUUCAAAGUAUCAGGCUGAGUGCAUGGAUGCUAAAGGAUUAGUAGAACCAAACCAUCAAACUCUAGAGAAGGAUCACAAUGAUAACUAGUGUACCUGCUGGAAGUGGCAAACUGAACUAUGGAGUGAGUGACUUCAAGGAAAAAUGUUGUAGAAGAUCUUCAUGGAUCACCAGCAUGACUUUUAGCAUAUGCAUACAUAAAGAAAUUUCAUGAUAUGCUACGGAUCUUAGUACUAAAAAUAGUUUACAUGUACUAAAUCUUACUAGCUGGGGGUAUGUUAUAGAUUAAAUCUUAAGCUGGAUGUGUGUUUAGUUUAUCCACUUAAUCAUGCUAUAUAACAACUAUGCAAUGUUCUAUAUAUGUUAUUAGUAGUCCUAUUGAUGAUGGUGUGCUUUUAUAUUUUGCUUAUGCUAUCUUAGUAGUCCGUUGGAAAAAAUAUUAACAUAGAUGCAUUGAAGAAAUGUAUUAGUACAAGACAAUGGUCUCAUAUAUAUUAUGAAAUAAUUGCAAUAACAAUUAUGGAUAGGAUUGCCUAAAGGUGAUAUAUAAACCUAUUCUUUCAUCUUGUACUUUAAUUGGUAAAAAAGUAAAUUUAUGCCCCUGUUUUUUAUUUCUUUCAUGCACAGACUAUAUAUAUAUAUAUAUAUUAUAUGCAUCGGUAACAAUGGGUUAUAAUGUUUUUUCAAAGGAUAAUUCAUGGGCUUGGUUUAUCUUAGGAUUGCAUUUUUCAUCUUGCCAUGGCAUAAUAAGUUACUGUGGAGAUUGGUGGCUCAAAAAAGGAGGUAUAAUAUUAAACCAAAAAUAUAUUUCAAUGAACUUUACACAACUUUAUUAUCAAUUAAAGAUGUGAAUAUUUGAAAUAUAUUUCUAUUUCAUUCACAUUUACAUACUUUUUAGUCAUGAUUCUUUCAAGAAAAAAGGUAUAUAUUAAAUCAUAAUUUUAGUUCUUGGGUUGCUGCAAAUACAUAUCGAUGGCAGAAUAUGAUGAUCACAUAUUAGAAAAUUUUAAGGUCUAUUUCAUUUUUCUACAUUAAGCCCACUCAAACUAUCCCACUUGCAAAUUUUGAUGAUCCAAUUGGAAAUUUCUCCAAUAAUCAUCAAGAAGAUUAUAUAUUUUGGAGUUAAUAUUCUUUGCCUUGUGGUAUUGGAUAAGAGUCAGACAUUAUAAUCCAUUUGUUACUCAAAUUAAUAUUCAUAUGUUUUGUACAUUGAAAAACAUUUAAUAUUUUUGUGGUUAGGUUGAGAUACUAGUUUUGUACAUUUGAAAUUUGACUCCUAACAAAUUCUGCAAAAUGCCUGCACCUCAGUUGAAGAAUUUUGAAGGUCUUUUAUCGACUGCAGUAAACUCUUGUGAGUGGAUUAUUUAAAUUCUGCAUAGAGCAGGUAAUUCACCAGAAGAAUUCUGAUAGCAGUUAUAUUUCUUGGUGAUAAUAUACCUAAAACAAAUUUGGAAAAGGAAGGUGUAUUUGCUAUAUGAUAAUAACAAUUCCGAUACAUAGCUGCAUUAGCCAUUCCUUACGAUAGUUACUUGGUUACAUGGAUGACUUUCUUUGUUUGUUUUUCCUUUUAUAAACAAAGAAUCUGACGAUAGUUGCUCUCUUUCUUUGUUUGACAGGUUCAACUUAAAGAAGCUCACAUACGAAGAAAGGAAGAACCAAUUAAUUGAAGGAUUGACUAAAUUUGGGCAGUGGCAUAAAUUUUCAAAGGAACAUGGAUACAACCUUUUUUCUUUGGGGACAUGUUUACAACCUUUCUUUAUCAUAGUGUUGGGAAUGAGGAGUGUACUUGAUUAGGCUGAUAAUGCACAUGUCGUAUAGAGAAACCUGGCUUUCCUUGUGUCCAUGCAAUUGCAGCAUGUAAGUAUCAACAUAUUUCUCAAGGAGAGAAGCAUCAUCAAUAUAGAUGCGGGAGGUGCAAACAGAUUGGUCACAGCAGCCGAUCAUGCUCAGCCGCCAUAUCUUUUGAUAGCACUGCCAGCCAACAGCACCAUUCAACUGAAGGACCAUAAAUAGCUCUACGCUAUAUUAAGACAAUGGGGGCAUGUUAUGUGGUAUGCAUGUGUUAUGCAAUGUAGUAAGGAAUGCAAUUAGUAGCUCAACCGCGUAACGUGUGUUUUGGCAUCAUAGAUGUUGGUUUUCUGUUGUUUUGUUGGAAAAAGUCAUCUGUCGUAUU
Ziziphus jujuba (common jujube) is the source of this 2428-nucleotide long non-coding RNA. RefSeq lists it as uncharacterized. The transcript is spliced from 4 exons. NCBI's taxonomy places the organism in Eukaryota, Viridiplantae, Streptophyta, Magnoliopsida, Rosales, Rhamnaceae. The record is from RefSeq and is a predicted model, not a curated record.